CUACCAGGGUUUCUAAUCCCAUUCGCUCCCCUAGCUUUCGUCCAAGAGUGUCAGUUGCGGCCCAGUAGAGCGCUUUCGCCACCGGUGUUCUUCCCAAUCUCUACGCAUUUCACCGCUACACUGGGAAUUCCCUCUACCCCUACCGCACUCUAGCCUUGCAGUUUCCCUUGCCUUUCCUCAGUUGAGCUGAGGUCUUUGACAACCGACUUGCCGGGCCACCUACGGACGCUUUACGCCCAAUUAUUCCGGAUAACGCUUGCCUCCUCCGUAUUACCGCGGCUGCUGGCAC
RNAcentral lists this ribosomal RNA (289 nucleotides) under uncultured cyanobacterium. Its description in RNAcentral is "partial 16S ribosomal RNA". The record is from RNAcentral. Lineage: Bacteria; Bacillati; Cyanobacteriota.